This 161-nucleotide small nuclear RNA is filed under the name Dasypus novemcinctus (nine-banded armadillo). RNAcentral describes it as "U1 spliceosomal RNA (ENSDNOG00000026438.1)". It matches the Rfam family "U1 spliceosomal RNA". From Rfam's summary of the family: U1 is a small nuclear RNA (snRNA) component of the spliceosome (involved in pre-mRNA splicing). Its 5' end forms complementary base pairs with the 5' splice junction, thus defining the 5' donor site of an intron. There are significant differences in sequence and secondary structure between metazoan and yeast U1 snRNAs, the latter being much longer (568 nucleotides as compared to 164 nucleotides in human). The record is from RNAcentral. Lineage: Eukaryota; Metazoa; Chordata; Mammalia; Cingulata; Dasypodidae.
AUACUUACCUACAGGAGAGAUACCAUGAUCAUGAAGGUGGUUUCCAGGCAAAGGCUUAUCCAUUGCCCUCUUGAUGUGCUGACUCCUGCAAUUUCCCCAAAUUUGGGAAAUUUGACUGCAUAGUUUGUGAUAGUGUGGGAUAGUGUUUGUGCUCUCCCCUG